GCCUGGGUGGCUCAGUGGUUGAGCAUCUGCCUUUGGCUCAGAUCGUGAUCCUGGAGUCCUGGGAUCGAGUCCCACAUCAGGCU
RNAcentral lists this transfer RNA (83 nucleotides) under Canis lupus familiaris (dog). It matches the Rfam family "tRNA". From Rfam's summary of the family: Transfer RNA (tRNA) molecules are approximately 80 nucleotides in length. Their secondary structure includes four short double-helical elements and three loops (D, anti-codon, and T loops). The record is from Rfam by way of RNAcentral. Lineage: Eukaryota; Metazoa; Chordata; Mammalia; Carnivora; Canidae. RNAcentral also lists the same sequence under 1 other name.